Molecule: ribosomal RNA, 497 nt
Filed under: uncultured bacterium
Lineage: Bacteria
Description: partial 16S ribosomal RNA
Rfam family: Bacterial small subunit ribosomal RNA
Source: RNAcentral
GAUGAACGCUGGCGGCGUGCCUAAUACAUGCAAGUCGAGCGAACGGACGAGAAGCUUGCUUUUCUGAUGUUAGCGGCGGACGGGUGAGUAACACGUGGAUAACCUACCUAUAAGACUGGGAUAACUUCGGGAAACCGGAGCUAAUACCGGAUAAUAUUUUGAACCGCAUGGUUCAAAAGUGAAAGACGGUCUUGCUGUCACUUAUAGAUGGAUCCGCGCUGCAUUAGCUAGUUGGUAAGGUAACGGCUUACCAAGGCAACGAUGCAUAGCCGACCUGAGGGGGUGAUCGGCCACACUGGAACUGAGACACGGUCCAGACUCCUACGGGAGGCAGCAGUAGGGAAUCUUCCACAAUGGGCGAAAGCCUGACGGAGCAACGCCGCGUGAGUGAUGAAGGUCUUCGGAUCGUAAAACUCUGUUAUUAGGGAAGAACAUAUGUGUAAGUAACUGUGCACAUCUUGACGGUACCUAAUCAGAAAGCCACGGCUAACUACGUG